UCCGGAUUUAUUGGGCGUAAAGCGAGCGCAGGCGGUUCUUUAAGUCUGAAGUUAAAGGCAGUGGCUUAACCAUUGUACGCUUUGGAAACUGGAGGACUUGAGUGCAGAAGGGGAGAGUGGAAUUCCAUGUGUAGCGGUGAAAUGCGUAGAUAUAUGGAGGAACACCGGUGGCGAAAGCGGCUCUCUGGUCUGUAACUGACG
This 201-nucleotide ribosomal RNA is filed under the name Escherichia coli. RNAcentral's name for it is "partial 16S ribosomal RNA". It matches the Rfam family "Bacterial small subunit ribosomal RNA", at positions 544 to 745 of the family's 1533-position model. The record is from RNAcentral. Lineage: Bacteria; Pseudomonadati; Pseudomonadota; Gammaproteobacteria; Enterobacterales; Enterobacteriaceae.